AUUGAACGCUGGCGGCAGGCUUAACACAUGCAAGUCGAGCGGGGUGAUGGUGCUUGCACUAUCACUUAGCGGCGGACGGGUGAGUAAUGCUUAGGAAUCUGCCUAUUAGUGGGGGACAACAUCUCGAAAGGGAUGCUAAUACCGCAUACGUCCUACGGGAGAAAGCAGGGGAUCACUUGUGACCUUGCGCUAAUAGAUGAGCCUAAGUCGGAUUAGCUAGUUGGUGGGGUAAAGGCCUACCAAGGCGACGAUCUGUAGCCGGUCUGAGAGGAUGAUCCGCCACACUGGGACUGAGACACGGCCCAGACUCCUACGGGAGGCAGCAGUGGGGAAUAUUGGACAAUGGGGGGAACCCUGAUCCAGCCAUGCCGCGUGUGUGAAGAAGGCCUUAUGGUUGUAAAGCACUUUAAGCGAGGAGGAGGCUCUUUUGGUUAAUACCCAAGAUGAGUGGACGUUACUCGCAGAAUAAGCACCGGCUAACUCUGUGCCAGCCGCCGCCGAA
Molecule: ribosomal RNA, 502 nt
Filed under: uncultured bacterium
Lineage: Bacteria
Description: partial 16S ribosomal RNA
Rfam family: Bacterial small subunit ribosomal RNA
Source: RNAcentral